UCAAGUUCCUAUUGAGUUUAUGGUCUCAAUCGCUAGUUUCAGGUCUUUUUUAAUACAGCAUGAUGUUCAUUCAGUAAAUUGUAGUCCCAUUUAGAGGAAAAUAGACCUUAAAGCAGAAUAUGCUUCAGGGCGGGAUUAUUUAAGUCGUUGCCAUGGCAAUCAGGCUCAGGAGUGAUUCGUACCCACGGCACUGUGCAAAUUUAAACAGUGGCGUUGAAAAGGUUAUUAGGAGUUGGCGGUUCACUUUUUCUGCAGCGCUCCAGGACGCAGGAUGAGACACUUCUACGAACAAAGAAGCAGUGGGGAUAUCCGUCACUGUUUCCCCUUUCCUCUGCUACAGCGUUUCCUCUCAUGUGCUGCAGCUUUUUUCAGAUAAAAGCAACUCUAGUCACUGUCAAGUCAAGUGAAUGCAUAUUUUUAUGAUUUUCUUAAGUUUCAAGAUGUCACACUUAUGUUCUCCAAGAAAUGUUGAUUGAUGUUGAUUAAAAAUGUAUCUUUCAAAAGGCUACAUUCA
This is a long non-coding RNA of Micropterus dolomieu (smallmouth bass), 514 nucleotides long. RefSeq lists it as uncharacterized. The transcript is spliced from 2 exons. The record is from RefSeq and is a predicted model, not a curated record. Lineage: Eukaryota; Metazoa; Chordata; Actinopteri; Centrarchiformes; Centrarchidae.